This 449-nucleotide ribosomal RNA is filed under the name uncultured prokaryote. RNAcentral's name for it is "bacterial SSU rRNA". It matches the Rfam family "Bacterial small subunit ribosomal RNA", at positions 355 to 796 of the family's 1533-position model. The record is from RNAcentral.
UGGGGAAUUUUGGGCAAUGGGCGCAAGCCUGACCCAGCAACGCCGCGUGAGGGAUGAAGGCCCUCGGGUCGUAAACCUCUGUCAGGGGGAACGAACUGGUCCUGGCCAAUACUCAGGACAGCUGACGGUACCCCCAAAGGAAGCGCCGGCUAACUCCGUGCCAGCAGCCGCGGUAAUACGGAGGGCGCAAGCGUUGUUCGGAAUUACUGGGCGUAAAGAGCGUGUAGGCGGUUGGGAAAGUCGGUUGUGAAAUCCCCGGGCUCAACCCGGGAACUGCAUCCGAAACUUCCGAGCUAGAGUCCCGGAGAGGAAGGCAGAAUUCCCAGUGUAGGGGUGAAAUCCGUAGAUACUGGGAGGAAUACCAGAGGCGAAGGCGGCCUUCUGGACGGUGACUGACGCUGAGACGCGAAAGCGUGGGGAGCAAACAGGAUUAGAUACCCGCGUAGUCC